GGAGGUUGGGCCCUCCGCGAUCGCCCGCGCAGGGGGAGGUCGCAAACCACCGCGAACUGCUGCGGUAAAGAGCCGUGGUGGUGAGCUCGCGGAAAAGGCGCCCGGUGAGGUGUCAGGU
This is a non-coding RNA of Micromonospora sp. CB01531, 118 nucleotides long. The record is from Rfam. Lineage: Bacteria; Bacillati; Actinomycetota; Actinomycetes; Micromonosporales; Micromonosporaceae.